Molecule: ribosomal RNA, 119 nt
Organism: Lepisosteus oculatus (spotted gar)
Lineage: Eukaryota; Metazoa; Chordata; Actinopteri; Semionotiformes; Lepisosteidae
Source: Rfam
GCCAGCAGCCAUAUCACCCUGCAACUCACAACUGGCAGCCCACUGAAGCUCAGCAGGUGUGAGCCUGGUCAGUACCUGGAUGGGAGACCUCCUGGGAAAAACUAAGGCUUCUGCUGGAA